RNAcentral lists this small nuclear RNA (107 nucleotides) under Vicugna pacos (alpaca). The record is from RNAcentral. Lineage: Eukaryota; Metazoa; Chordata; Mammalia; Artiodactyla; Camelidae.
GUGCUCGCUUUGGCAGCACAUAUACUAAAAUUGGAACAAAACAGAGAAGAUUAGCAUGGCCCCUGCACAAGGAUGACAUGCAAAUUCGUGAAGUGUUCCAUAUUUUA